UAUGGAAAUAUUCAGCUAUAAUUUGUUAUGUAAUUCGACAAAAGUUUUAAAAUACAUAUUUAGGGGCUAAUAGCAGAGGGCUGGGGAACUAAAUUCAUAAACAACUAACAAGUCUAGCCUAAUCGAACCAGCAAAAAAACAAAUUAAUCGAAAGUAUUAAACACCAGAAGUUUAUGCCUACUGGAAAAAAUAGGCAAGUCAAUUUAUAACCAGACAAGUGUUGGGUUAAUACAUAGUCGUGGUAAAUAAUAUAAUAUG
This is a non-coding RNA of Cinara cedri, 258 nucleotides long. Lineage: Eukaryota; Metazoa; Arthropoda; Insecta; Hemiptera; Aphididae. The record is from the annotation of a GenBank genome assembly.